GUGAGGAAUUUUCCGCAAUGGGCGAAAGCCUGACGGAGCAAUGCCGCGUGAAGGAUGAAGGCCUAUGGGUUGUAAACUUCUUUUCUCAGAAAAGAAUUAUGACGGUAUCUGAGGAAUAAGCAUCGGCUAACUCUGUGCCAGCAGCCGCGGUAAGACAGAGGAUGCAAGCGUUAUCCGGAAUGAUUGGGCGUAAAGCGGCUGUAGGUGUUUUACAAAGUAUUAUGUCAAAGAUUAGGGCUUAACCCUAGAUAGGCAGAAUAAACUUUUAAGCUAGAGUUUGGUAGAGGCAGAGGGAAUUCCCGGUGGAGCGGUGAAAUGCGUAGAUAUCGGGAGGAACACCAAAGGCGAAGGCACUCUGCUGGGCCAAUACUAACACUGAGAGACGAAAGCGAGGGGAGCAAAUGGGAUUAGAAACCCGAGUAGUCC
Molecule: ribosomal RNA, 426 nt
Filed under: uncultured bacterium
Lineage: Bacteria
Description: partial 16S ribosomal RNA
Rfam family: Bacterial small subunit ribosomal RNA
Source: RNAcentral